Molecule: long non-coding RNA, 2561 nt
Filed under: Pan troglodytes (chimpanzee)
Lineage: Eukaryota; Metazoa; Chordata; Mammalia; Primates; Hominidae
Description: lincRNA
Source: RNAcentral
GCUGCUUUGUAAAUUAAAUAUGAACAGACUGGUGCGCUCACACUCCAAGCGUCCCUCCCUCUCCCCUACUCCUGUCGUCGCUACAGGCGGCCCAGCGGGCUGGGACCAUCGCAUCUUGCUCAGCCCCAGUUCAGAACACAGAACUUCACACCGCCUGCUCGGGCCUGGAGUCCCCCCCCGCCGCCGACCCACGGGGAGGGCGCAAGGCGCCUUUCAGGGAAGGUGUCUUCGAAAAUGGUCGAGGGGUGAGAGCACUGUGACCCGUCCCUGCCGGGGAUCCUGUGGUGGGACAGCCAGGAUUGGGUCCCUAGCCCGGGGGAGGCAGAAUCUGGGUAAUGGAAGGGAGAAUGGGCUCGCUAUCUGCCCAGAGCUUCCCUGGACUGCAGGAACCCGUCCUAUAAGCAACCCCGAAACUUCGGGGCCCGAGGACCAGGGAAGACCCCCUUUCCUUGCUGUCUUGACAGGGUUGCAGAAGCCAAGGAGUUCGGCAGGGAGACGGGGCUCCUGGGGUGGUUAAAGACGCGGUGACCACCCCUGGGCGGGAGCUGACUCCCGCGGGCCCGGAGGCUCUAGCUUACUCUACAGCAAAUGCUUUUGUUCCCGGAGGCUGCCCUGGGGGAAAGACGCCCCUUACCCCUGCCUUCGACCCUGGAGAGCCCAGUGCCCGCCCGGGCAGGGCUGGAGCCCGAGUCGCCCCAGGCAGAGUCCGCCGAGGCCUGGGGUGGGAGCCGCGACUUCUGGAUCUGCCUCCGAGCUCAGCUAGAAGACUGCGCGCACCUCGUCCGGCGCCGCCCGGCGCGCAGAAGCGGGUCUAAUGUUUAUAACGUUAAUAAUGACAGUUAGGGAGGGCUGUGGAGCCGGGAACCAAGACCUCAUCCCGCCGCCGCCCACGUCUUUGAUCAUUAAAGAAACAGACAACUAAUCAGGUGUGUGGAAGUAGGGGUGGGGGAGGGGAGGGUGACAAGGUUCCAAGCCGCGAGCGCAGAGGGUCCCAGAUUCAGAAUCUGCCGAAUCCAGACUAAGGCUUCUAACCAGGCUGGAGCCGACCCCAGACAGACCCAGGAAUGGAGAGCUGGAGCCCCUGGCCGCUUUCUGCGGAUCGACCCUUAACUUCAACGUCGCGAACCCGGAGCGUCGGAAGGGUGGGGAGGGUUGAAACCGGUUGGAUCUGGGGACUUGCUCCAGCGACUCCAUCCGCGCUGUUCUAGGGCCCAAGCCUGGUCCGCGCGCGCCCCCUGCUGGAAGCCGCUUGCCGGGCGCAGAGGCGGGUCAAUGGCGGAGGGUGCUGGCUGGGCGAGGAAGAUGUGGCUGGAACCCUGCACCAAGGCGACCGCUGCUCACGGCUCUGCAGUCCCGCGGCGCGAUACGCCAGUGGGGCGCGCUUAACCAAAGUCCCGAGGCUUUACUUCCCGUGCCCACCCAGUCUAUGUCCCAGGUAUCAGCAACCUCUGGUCCACUACACAACACAGGCGCGGUCCCUACUUCGCGCUGCGUAGUUUCCAGUGCCCAGGGCGUCUCCUAAUUCUUGAGCGACUAGUCCCUGGCACAAAAGCUUCCUAUACACCUCUCCCACUCUCCCUUCUCUCUGAGUCUUAUGACUUUGUCAGGGGCCUAUUAAAAUAAAUGUCUGAGAUCUGGAAAAAAAAAUCUGUUGGCGCUAACAGGGGCAAAGAAAACUGCAAAAUUGGAAGUAAUCGAUGUUUGAUUGAAUGUUUAAGACAUGCGACAUUGUGCAAACGAUUCUGUUGCAACUGCACUCAGAGUUGUACAUGUCCUUGUAUUUUAAUGUGGCCCGCGGAGGAUUUAAUGGACUUGCCUAAAGAUGUGGGAAGGGCCUCUGAGAAUAAGAAAGCCGGGGCCCAGAUGGGCAUCAAACAUCCCCAGCAUAGCAGCCGGUUAAGGCUGCAGAGACCUUCCCCAAGGCUGCCCUCCAGCCAGAAGCCCCUGAACACUCACUACUUCCCAUCUUUCAGCUUCUGCGCGCACAGAAACACACACACACACACACACACACACACACACACACACACACGUUCUCUCCAGCCCCACACCCCCAAGAAGCUGCUUUCCUUUUCUAAUUUCCAGUCGAAAGAUCACUCCUCAGGGAAGCCAGGCCCUGUUUAUACUCCCUCCUCUGGCCUUUCCUUGUACAGGCUCUAUGUAGUCGUCAGGCGGGCAGGUCCUAGCGUCAGCCUCCAUUAUGUACUGACUGUGUGUCCUUAGCCAAGCUAUUUAACCUCUCUGUGCCUCAAGAAAAAAAGGCAUAAAUAAGAGUACUGACCAGGCGCGGUGGCUCACACCUGUAAUAAUCCCAGCACUUUGGGAGGCCAAGGCGGGCGGAUCACAAGGUCAGGAGUUCGAGACCAGCCUGACCAACAUGGUGAAACCUCGUCUCUGCUAAAAAUACAAAAAUUAGCCGGGCGUGGUGGUGCAUGCCUGUAAUCCCAGCUACUCAGGAGGCUGAGGCAGGAGAAUCUCUUGAACUCGGGAGGCAGAGGUUGCAGUGAGCCGAGAUAGUGCCACUGCAUUCCGGCCUGGGCGACGGAGCGAGACUCUGUCUC